UUUAAUCUGAUCGUCGUUUUUCCUUCUCGCUCUCGAAUGACAAUAAGCGUACCGCUGGAGUUAGUACCGAAGAUACCGAGACUUUAGUAGAGGUAGCGGUAAAAGACCCGUCAGCGUCGAGGUCGCGUAGGUCGGAAGUCGUGCUAGUAGUAGAAAGUCUCAUUACAGGUUUUUCCGUUUCUUUCAAGUCUGAAGAGUCGGAAAGCCAGUCAUGUACGAUAUUUUAGGUGGAAGACAAUAUGCCUUAAAGAUCCUUAUUUUUCCUUGAUAAUGACCGGAUAACCUAUCGUAAACAAAACAAAUAGUUAUAUCGACUCAUAUAGGAUGUUUUCGAUACUUUAACACGAAAGAAUUGUAGAUCCCGGGCCCCCUCCUAACCUUGACUUUCUACCACAACUACGUAGACCUUCCGGUCGGUUCCCCUUCCCGCAGAUGGUCAAACGGUCGUUCAUACCUCGUUUACAACUACCCAUGUCGGGUUAUAUAUUGGGUCUUCUUACCAGAGGUUCACCACUGAUGAUGCGCCCUCCUUUCUGUCCCAACAACGAGACCCACCGAUGAGAACGACCUUAAGACGACCCACCACGAGACGAACAAAUGUUAUGAUCACGAAACCGAAGAACUUCGAACCAUGGCAUUUGGUCUAAUACAUGGUACGUUCCUAAAUGUAGUAGAUCCCAUCUAUAAGCCUGUGUAUAUAGGGAUAUGAAUUAAUGGUUUUCGUUAUUCAGAGGCUAUACGUUUAUUACCAGAAUAUACAACACGUUAACUACAUUAUUUCUGAUUUAUUAGUCGUUUUACGAUGCGGAAGUCGAUUGUUCCGUCACCUAUACUCACGUGUCUCAGACUGAACUUGUUUUAUCGACUUGUACUGUAUUGACUUUAUACCCUGUCGAGUACUCCUUUAACAAGUUAAACAAAAGAGAAUCGUGCAGAGGCGAUUACGAGACGUAUCGUAAACCAAGGUCG
RNAcentral lists this ribosomal RNA (969 nucleotides) under Triticum aestivum (bread wheat). RNAcentral's name for it is "partial small subunit ribosomal RNA". Lineage: Eukaryota; Viridiplantae; Streptophyta; Magnoliopsida; Poales; Poaceae. The record is from RNAcentral.